CCUACGGGAGGCAGCAGUAGGGAAUUUUCCGCAAUGGGCGAAAGCCUGACGGAGCAAUACCGCGUGAGGGAUGACGGCCUGUGGGUUGUAAACCUCUUUUCUCAAGGAAGAAGUUCUGACGGUACUUGAGGAAUAAGCAUCGGCUAACUCUGUGCCAGCAGCCGCGGUAAUACAGAGGAUGCAAGCGUUAUCCGGAAUCACUGGGCAUAAAGCGUCUGUAGGUUGUUUAGUAAGUCUGCUGUUAAAGACUGGGGCUUAACCCCAGAAAAGCAGUGGAAACUGCUAGACUCGAGUGUGGUAGAGGUAGAGGGAAUUCCUAGUGUAGCGGUGAAAUGCGUAGAUAUUAGGAAGAACACCAAUGGCGAAGGCACUCUACUGGGCCAUAACUGACACUGAGAGACGACAGCUAGGGGAGCAAACGGGAUUAGAUACCCCGGUAGUCCUAGCCGUAAACGAUGGAUACUAGAUGUUGCACGUAUUAACCCGUGCAGUAUCGUAGCUAAGGCGUUAAGUAUCCCGCCUGGGAAGUACGCUCGCAAGAGUGAAACUCAAAUGAAUUGAGGCUUGAGACCGNGCGAGCGACGACGAGGAGAG
This 594-nucleotide ribosomal RNA is filed under the name uncultured bacterium. RNAcentral's name for it is "bacterial SSU rRNA". It matches the Rfam family "Bacterial small subunit ribosomal RNA", at positions 338 to 944 of the family's 1533-position model. The record is from RNAcentral.